GAUGAACGCUGGCGGCGUGCUUAACACAUGCAAGUCGAACGGUGAAAGAGGGCUUGCUCUCUGGAUCAGUGGCGAACGGGUGAGUAACACGUGAGCAAUCUGCCCCUGACUCUGGGAUAAGCGCUGGAAACGGCGUCUAAUACCGGAUACGAGCUGCGAAGGCAUCUUCAGCAGCUGGAAAGAACUUCGGUCAGGGAUGAGCUCGCGGCCUAUCAGCUAGUUGGUGAGGUAACGGCUCACCAAGGCGUCGACGGGUAGCCGGCCUGAGAGGGUGACCGGCCACACUGGGACUGAGACACGGCCCAGACUCCUACGGGAGGCAGCAGUGGGGAAUAUUGCACAAUGGGCGAAAGCCUGAUGCAGCAACGCCGCGUGAGGGACGACGGCCUUCGGGUUGUAAACCUCUUUUAGCAGGGAAGAAGCGAAAGUGACGGUACCUGCAGAAAAAGCACCGGCUAACUACGUG
This 466-nucleotide ribosomal RNA is filed under the name uncultured bacterium. Its description in RNAcentral is "partial 16S ribosomal RNA". It matches the Rfam family "Bacterial small subunit ribosomal RNA", at positions 28 to 507 of the family's 1533-position model. The record is from RNAcentral.